RNAcentral lists this long non-coding RNA (1045 nucleotides) under Cairina moschata (Muscovy duck). Its description in RNAcentral is "domestica (muscovy Duck (domestic type)) lncRNA (ENSCMMG00000012773.1)". The record is from RNAcentral. Lineage: Eukaryota; Metazoa; Chordata; Aves; Anseriformes; Anatidae.
UGUCAUCUGUAUUGGUUUAAAGGGAACAAAUUGCCAUUUCCUUUUGUUUGCAUCUACUACAAGCUCUAGCGGUGCCGUGGGCAAAGAUAAGGUUAUGUGGGGAUUCCAGCUAUCUGGGCUGCAAAGCGGUGUGCUUUCUGGGAAGAAAUGCUGCAGGGCAGCAGAAAUACUUCUCUGUCUGCUCCAGAAUCUGGAGCAUUAAUACCAGCAUGGGAAAUGGAUGAGGGAGGAGCAUGCAGAGCCUGUGACCUGAAGGCUGAGCUCAAGGACACUCCCAGAUAAGUCCCCGAAGGCUUCCCUUUGCUCUGCCUGCCGACCUCUGCCCGCCCCUGAACAUCCCCGAAAAUGGAGAGAUCCACACAAGAACUUUUCCUCAACUUCAUGAUUGUCCUCAUUACUGUGUUGCUCAUGUGGCUCCUGGUGAAGUCUUAUCAGGAGUAAAAGACAAUCAGAAACUCUCAGGGCUGGUCUAAGCCUGUGUCUGCAGACACCAGUGAAACCCACCGCACACCUCUGUGAUCAGCUUUUGGUCAAUUCGGGAUGCCGUGAAUAUUUUUUUACUCUCUCAUCUCUGUUGCCUGUGCUAAUGUUUGUAAUGGGUCUAUGAUGGUGUAAUUAUUUUAUUCUGCAGUGAUCCAACUGUAAAAUGCAAGAUCCUUAGGAAAUGUCCUAUGUGGCUCUCCCCCAGUGGCCAUGUGAAUGCUGUACCCCUCUGCCCACGGUGCUGGCUUCUUUGGCGUCAGGGUAGGGUAUAAACCUGCAGCAUGCAAUGGAUCCGUCUGUGUUAGCCGGUAUAAAAGGCACAGGCUUGCUUAGCAGACAGGAAUGUGAAACUUCUGUUUUCGCUUGCUCUUGUUUCACUUAAAUAAAGAACAUGUAAACCCAUUAUUUUGUAGCUUUCCUGGUCUGACAGCUGUUCACUGGAAAACCUGAUAGGUGCAGCAUGGUACAUCACGAGGUCUGGCAGUUCGCUUGUUCCUCCCACCCACAUUUUUAUUUGCACUUUAUCAAAAAUGUCUGUAGAGUAAUAGUGCCAGUGCUGCAG